RNAcentral lists this ribosomal RNA (798 nucleotides) under Micrococcus sp. RNAcentral's name for it is "bacterial SSU rRNA". It matches the Rfam family "Bacterial small subunit ribosomal RNA", at positions 92 to 902 of the family's 1533-position model. Lineage: Bacteria; Bacillati; Actinomycetota; Actinomycetes; Micrococcales; Micrococcaceae. The record is from RNAcentral.
UUAGUGGCGAACGGGUGAGUAACACGUGAGUAACCUGCCCUUAACUCUGGGAUAAGCCUGGGAAACUGGGUCUAAUACCGGAUAGGAGCGCCUACCGCAUGGUGGGUGUUGGAAAGAUUUAUCGGUUUUGGAUGGACUCGCGGCCUAUCAGCUUGUUGGUGAGGUAAUGGCUCACCAAGGCGACGACGGGUAGCCGGCCUGAGAGGGUGACCGGCCACACUGGGACUGAGACACGGCCCAGACUCCUACGGGAGGCAGCAGUGGGGAAUAUUGCACAAUGGGCGCAAGCCUGAUGCAGCGACGCCGCGUGAGGGAUGACGGCCUUCGGGUUGUAAACCUCUUUCAGUAGGGAAGAAGCGAAAGUGACGGUACCUGCAGAAGAAGCACCGGCUAACUACGUGCCAGCAGCCGCGGUAAUACGUAGGGUGCGAGCGUUAUCCGGAAUUAUUGGGCGUAAAGAGCUCGUAGGCGGUUUGUCGCGUCUGUCGUGAAAGUCCGGGGCUUAACCCCGGAUCUGCGGUGGGUACGGGCAGACUAGAGUGCAGUAGGGGAGACUGGAAUUCCUGGUGUAGCGGUGGAAUGCGCAGAUAUCAGGAGGAACACCGAUGGCGAAGGCAGGUCUCUGGGCUGUAACUGACGCUGAGGAGCGAAAGCAUGGGGAGCGAACAGGAUUAGAUACCCUGGUAGUCCAUGCCGUAAACGUUGGGCACUAGGUGUGGGGACCAUUCCACGGUUUCCGCGCCGCAGCUAACGCAUUAAGUGCCCCGCCUGGGGAGUACGGCCGCAAGGCUAAAACUC